RNAcentral lists this ribosomal RNA (496 nucleotides) under uncultured bacterium. RNAcentral describes it as "partial 16S ribosomal RNA". It matches the Rfam family "Bacterial small subunit ribosomal RNA", at positions 28 to 507 of the family's 1533-position model. The record is from RNAcentral.
GAUGAACGCUGGCGGCGUGCCUAAUACAUGCAAGUCGAGCGAACGGACGAGAAGCUUGCUUCUCUGAUGUUAGCGGCGGACGGGUGAGUAACACGUGGAUAACCUACCUAUAAGACUGGGAUAACUUCGGGAAACCGGAGCUAAUACCGGAUAAUAUUUUGAACCGCAUGGUUCAAAAGUGAAAGACGGUCUUGCUGUCACUUAUAGAUGGAUCCGCGCUGCAUUAGCUAGUUGGUAAGGUAACGGCUUACCAAGGCAACGAUGCAUAGCCGACCUUAGAGGGGGACCGGCCACAGUGAGCCGGAAAACCGGCCCAGCGCCUGAGGGGGGGCCGAGGAUGGGAAUUUUGCCAAAGGGGGGAAAGCUUGACGGAGGAGCGCAGGGGGGUUGAUGAAGGUCUGCGGUUUGUAAAACUGUUUUAUGGGGGAAAAACAUAUUUGCAAGUAACUGGGCAUGUCUGGGGGUAACCUAAAAAGAAGCCCCGGCUAAACUCGGG